CAGAGAGAGGUGGGCAAAGAGAAGCUGGGGGUGGGAAUGAAGGAGAGCAAGAAGGUCAUUGAUUGAUUUUAUUUACCCUUUUCCGCAUCCCAGGAGCUACGUUUUCUUUCCUCCUCCCCCGAUCCCCAGCAUGUUAUAACUCUAGUGAAAUCAAAGUGAUUAGAAAAGCAAGGAAUUGAAUAGGGGCUAAAUUCUGUGUGUGUGUGUGUGUGUGUGUGUGUGUGUGUGUGUGUGCUUACAUACAUCUACAAUUCCUUCUGGGACUAACAGGAGAUAUGCAUGUGUAACAAAGGGCAGAAUUUGGCCCUUGGAGUGUAGCAACUGUUUGAAUCAAUUCAGCAGUCAUUCUGGUAUAAUUGGCAGUAGCUCACACGCAGCCAUACCCAGCGGAACCUGGUUAAUUGCAUGAGGAACGUUCCGCUGGACACAGGGUUACCCUUGACUUAAAAAAAAAAGAAGAAAAAAGCAUCAUGGAAAUUUUUAAUUUCCACUAAGAGUAUCCCCAGAGCCAGGCAGGUGCAGUCUGUGGUGAUUCUGAGUGGGGGCAGGAUGUACCUGAAACCAGCUCCAGCUUUGCCCCCUUUAGAAGCUGGGACUCAACUUCCCUUCAAAAUUCCGUGGCUGUGUUCAGCUAUCCUGAGAAGAGCUGGCUAGCAAGGGAGGUUUUCAGUGUAAACAACAGUGGGAUCUGAAUCUAGAAGCUGGAAUGGAACCUCAAGCCACAUGUCGCUUGUGCAACCAAUGUGUGUGCCAAGAGAUCACAGUGCCCGGGCUCAGGAUGGAAGCAGCUUUCCUGUUAGCUACAUGCCAUGAGAAGGAAAGGAGAA
Molecule: long non-coding RNA, 827 nt
Organism: Gopherus flavomarginatus (Mexican gopher tortoise)
Lineage: Eukaryota; Metazoa; Chordata; Testudines; Testudinidae
Exons: 3
Source: RefSeq, a predicted model, not a curated record